ACAUAGUAUCCUACCUCGUUUCAAUUUCUAGACUUCUGCGGCUUCCUUGAACGUAGUUAAAAUGGAGAAUGGCUUUCUGCUUUUAAAAUAUGUGCCAACAAUUUUGACUUUUGCAGAAUAUUUAUAGUGAAAAAAAGAGUCUUGGUGCCCUUGAAAUCGAGAAACUGUUUAUGUGUGUGGAAUAGAUGGACAUUAAAAAAAAAGCAAGGAAGCUAUUGAAUUUAAAGAACAAAACCAAAGUUAAAAG
This 247-nucleotide long non-coding RNA is filed under the name Olea europaea (common olive). RNAcentral's name for it is "long non-coding RNA (OEUR_LNC008745)". The record is from RNAcentral. Lineage: Eukaryota; Viridiplantae; Streptophyta; Magnoliopsida; Lamiales; Oleaceae.